Molecule: ribosomal RNA, 253 nt
Filed under: uncultured bacterium
Lineage: Bacteria
Description: partial 16S ribosomal RNA
Rfam family: Bacterial small subunit ribosomal RNA
Source: RNAcentral
UACGAAGGGGGCUAGCGUUGCUCGGAAUUACUGGGCGUAAAGCGCACGUAGGCGGCUCUUUAAGUCGGAGGUGAAAUCCUGGGGCUCAACUCCAGAACUGCCUUCGAUACUGUAGAGCUUGAGUUCGGGAGAGGUGAGUGGAACUGCGAGUGUAGAGGUGAAAUUCGUAGAUAUUCGCAAGAACACCAGUGGCGAAGGCGGCUCACUGGCCCGAUACUGACGCUGAGGUGCGAAAGCGUGGGGAGCAAACAGG